GACGAACGCUGGCGGCGUGCUUAACACAUGCAAGUCGAACGGAAAGGCCCCUUUUGGGGUACUCGCUUGGCGGACGGGUGCGUAACACGCGCGUAACCUGCCCUUGACUUCGGGAUAACUUCAGGAAACUGGGGCUAAUACCGGCUAGGAAUCCUUGCUGCAUGGUGGGGGUUGGAAAGCUUCGGCGGUUUUGGGUGGACUCGCGGCUUAUCAGCUUGGUGGUGGGGUAGUGGCUUACCAAGGCUUUGACGGGUAGCCGGCCUGGGUGGGCGACCGGCCACAGUGGGACUGGGAUACGGCCCAGACUCCUACGGGAGGCAGCAGUGGGGAAUAUUGCACAAUGGGCGGAAGCCGGAUGCAGCAACGCCGCGGGCGGGAUGACGGCCUUCGGGUUGGAAACCGCUUUCAGCAGGGGCGAAGCUUGUGGUGACGGUACCUGCAGAAGAAGCACCGGCUAACUACGUG
This 465-nucleotide ribosomal RNA is filed under the name uncultured bacterium. RNAcentral's name for it is "partial 16S ribosomal RNA". It matches the Rfam family "Bacterial small subunit ribosomal RNA", at positions 28 to 507 of the family's 1533-position model. The record is from RNAcentral.